Podarcis lilfordi (Lilford's wall lizard) is the source of this 75-nucleotide non-coding RNA. NCBI's taxonomy places the organism in Eukaryota, Metazoa, Chordata, Lepidosauria, Squamata, Lacertidae. The record is from the annotation of a GenBank genome assembly.
GCCGUAGCACAGCGUGGUACUAGGGACACCUGCUUGGCAUGCAGAAGGUCCCCGGUUCAAUCCCCGCUGGCAGCC